RNAcentral lists this ribosomal RNA (760 nucleotides) under uncultured Acidobacteriota bacterium. RNAcentral describes it as "bacterial SSU rRNA". It matches the Rfam family "Bacterial small subunit ribosomal RNA", at positions 73 to 812 of the family's 1533-position model. Lineage: Bacteria; Pseudomonadati; Acidobacteriota. The record is from RNAcentral.
GUCUCCUUCGGGAGGCUAGUAGAGUGGCGCACGGGUGAGUAACACGUAGGUAAUCUACCUUCGGAUGGGGAAUAACAACCGGAAACGGUUGCUAAUACCGCAUAAUGCAGCGGCACCUAAUGGUGACAGUUGUUAAAGCGGGGGAUUGAAAGACCUCGCGUCUGAAGAGGAGCCUGCGGCGGAUUAGCUAGUUGGUAGGGUAACGGCCUACCAAGGCGACGAUCCGUAGCCGGCCUGAGAGGGCGGUCGGCCACACUGACACUGACAUACGGGUCAGACUCCUACGGGAGGCAGCAGUCGGGAAUUUUGGGCAAUGGGCGAAAGCCUGACCCAGCAACGCCGCGUGAAGGAUGAAAUCCCUCGGGAUGUAAACUUCGCAAGAACGGGAAGAAUAAGUAGGGGACAAUACCCCCUAUGAUGACGGUACCGUUUGUAAGCUCCGGCUAACUCCGUGCCAGCAGCCGCGGUAAUACGGGGGGAGCAAGCGUUGUUCGGAUUUACUGGGCGUAAAGGGCGCGUAGGCGGCCAGUGCAAGUCAGUUGUGAAAUCUCCGAGCUUAACUCGGAAAGGUCAACUGAUACUGCUCGGCUAGAGUGCGGAAGGGGCAACUGGAAUUCUUGGUGUAGCGGUGAAAUGCGUAGAUAUCAAGAGGAACACCUGCGGCGAAGGCGGGUUGCUGGGCCGACACUGACGCUGAGGCGCGAAAGCUAGGGGAGCGAACGGGAUUAGAUACCCCGGUAGUCCUAGCCUUAAACGAUGA